UAGCCGUAAACGAUACUCGCUAGGUGUCGGCCACGGUGCGACCGUUGUCGGUGCCGUAGGGAAGCCGUGAAGCGAGCCACCUGGGAAGUACGGCCGCAAGGCUGAAACUUAAAGGAAUUGGCGGGGGAGCACCACAACGGGUGGAGCUUGCGGUUUAAUUGGAUUCAACGCCGGAAAUCUUACCGGGACCGACAGCAACAUGAAGGCCAGGCUGAAGACUUUGCCGGAUUAGCUGAGAGGUGGUGGCAUGGCGUAGUCGUGU
RNAcentral lists this ribosomal RNA (262 nucleotides) under uncultured archaeon. Its description in RNAcentral is "partial 16S ribosomal RNA". It matches the Rfam family "Archaeal small subunit ribosomal RNA", at positions 748 to 1009 of the family's 1478-position model. The record is from RNAcentral.